AUCCAAGUGGUAAUCUUGAGCUGAAUAUUCUAAGAAACGAGAGCUCACAAAGAGCAUGGCAAGAAGUCCAGAAGGAGAGACAGACAUGAAGUGGGGAAGAGCAAAGACAAAUUGGAACACAAGAGGACAAGCUGGAACCUGCUUCGGUCCCUUACUACCUGUAAGCUUCUAACUUCAGUGAUGCAAAUGACCUGCAGGAGAAACUAGUAUCCUUCAUUAUGAAGCUAAAUGUACACCUGACCUGGGAGUCGGAGCCGCUGUGGACCUGGCUGCUGCCUCUGCCUCCAAAGUGAGCCAACAAAUCAGUGACAACAUGUGUGAGCUGCAGCAGUACCUGGUGCCCUACACUGACCCUUCAAGUGUAAAAAGAAGAUGAAAAUGGCGACGGGAUUUUCAUAUUCAUAAACGUGCCCCAAGUGCCCAACACAUGGUACGUAUUCAACAAAUACCUGCUGAACUGAGGAUAACCUUUUAGCUUAGAAGUAAAAAAAACCAACCAAACAAAAACAAUUUCAAG
RNAcentral lists this long non-coding RNA (517 nucleotides) under Equus caballus (horse). Its description in RNAcentral is "lncRNA (ENSECAG00000054867.1)". The record is from RNAcentral. Lineage: Eukaryota; Metazoa; Chordata; Mammalia; Perissodactyla; Equidae.